AAAACUUGGUUUUCGAGCAUUUCUCUGCCCCAGGAGGGCAAUGGGCCCCACGUCCAAUUCAUCAAGUGCCUAAUGAGUGGCCUCGGAGGUCCCGGCCCAUCCAUUCCAGAAGCUCCCUGCCUCGUAAAGGCUCUCUGGCCUUGGCCCAGGUGUCAGGAUCCUGCCAGCUCCAGGCUGGGGGCUGUGUCUGCCCCGACUUGGAUGGAAAACUGGAAUCUGAGCAACCGUGAGCUCCAGGCAGAAGAAUUUCAGCAGUUACACUUCACCCUGGCAAGAGGAUGGUAGGCUCAAUGCGGAGAGCUAGUGAUUUUGCCAACUUCCUGGAUGUUCGUUCCUGGUCCUGCACCAAACAGCCCCAUUUCCUUUUGGAACCGGGACCGGGACAGAGGCGGCGGCAGACACGGGACGUUGUUGUGAGGUUUCGAGAUUGUGAAUGAAAAGGCUGGGCCUGUGGAAUACGCAAUCUCUGGGCCAGUUCCCAGAAGCCCAGAAAUGAACAGCCAGAGCGGCCACCGGACAUCGCUUUUCAGCCACCAGGGGCCACUGGGCAUCACAUCUCGGCCACCCACAAGCCGGGCGACCCUGGGAUGGGAUGAGGACACAGACCUGCACAGAGGGGAAGAUCUCGUGAAGACUCAGAAGGGAUAGCCAUCGACCCGCCAAGGAGAGAGCUCCGGAGAAACCGGCCCUGCUGACACCUCCGGCUCCAAAUUCCAGCCUCCGGGGCUGCGAGAUGAUCUGGGCUGCUUGGUCACGGCAGCCUGAGCAAAGCGGCAUUGAAAUUUGCCUGUGUGCUGAGCAGCGUGUGCUUUAAAACGACCGACAGUCUGUCCCAAGCCCCUCCAAGGCGAGCACAUCCCAUUUGGCUUCUCAGACUCAUCAGAGCAUUGCGUCCCCAUUUCACAGAUGUGGAAACUGAGGCUAAGCAAAUAGCCCAGGGUCAGAUAGCUAGGAUGUGUGGAGAGAGACUGUUUCCCGGAGUUGGGGCACUCAAACCCGGCUGCACAGAGGAAAUCACCUGGGAAGUCUUAAAAUACUGAUUCCUGGGCCCUGCCCCGGACGAAGGGAGUUAGAAGAUGGGCAGCAAUUCUCAAGGCACCCCAGUGAUUUUCACCUAGAUCAGUG
Molecule: long non-coding RNA, 1125 nt
Organism: Myotis davidii
Lineage: Eukaryota; Metazoa; Chordata; Mammalia; Chiroptera; Vespertilionidae
Exons: 6
Source: RefSeq, a predicted model, not a curated record